CGUAACAAGGUUUCCGUAGGUGAACCUGCGGAAGGAUCAUUAUUGAAAACAAGGGUGUCCAAUUUAACUUGGAACCCGUACUUCUCAAUUCUAACUUUGUGCAUCUGUAUUAUGGCGAGCAGUCUUCGGAUUGUGAGCCUUCACUUAUAAACACUAGUCUAUGAAUGUAAAAUUUUUAUAACAAAUAAAAACUUUCAACAACGGAUCUCUUGGCUCUCGCAUCAAUGAAGAACGCAGCGAAAUGCGAUACGUAAUGUGAAUUGCAGAAUUCAGUGAAUCAUCGAAUCUUUGAACGCAUCUUGCGCUCUCUGGUAUUCCGGAGAGCAUGUCUGUUUGAGUGUCAUGAAUUCUUCAACCCAAUCUUUUCUUGUAAUCGAUUGGUGUUUGGAUUUUGAGCGCUGCUGGCUUCGGCCUAGCUCGUUCGUAAUACAUUAGCAUCCCUAAUACAAGUUUGGAUUGACUUGGCGUAAUAGACUAUUCGCUAAGGAUUCGGUGGAAACAUCGAGCCAACUUCAUUAAGGAAGCUCCUAAUUCAAAAGUCUACCUUUUGAUUAGAUCUCAAAUCAGGCAGGAUUACCCGCUGAACUUAAGC
This 592-nucleotide ribosomal RNA is filed under the name uncultured fungus. RNAcentral's name for it is "eukaryotic LSU rRNA". The stretch from base 190 to 343 matches the Rfam family "5.8S ribosomal RNA". The record is from RNAcentral. Lineage: Eukaryota; Fungi.